GGUAAGGAGGAAAAGAAAUAAAACUACCAAUAAGAAAGCAAAGUGUUUUACAUUUGAAGUUUGAAAUUAAAAUUAAAACUAAAAAUGGCAAACAAAUAUGUUGCUUUGUUGUUGGUGGUGUGCCUGGUAGCUGUUCAGGCAGAGCCUACCCUUCAAUCGGGAGAGACCGUAAUGACCCCGGAAGAGUGCUUUGAAUAUUGCGUUACCGCAAGUUUAUAUCCACGCUUCGCUUCUGAGCCAGUAUGCCGUUUCCGUUGCCAAUUCACCAUGUACAAUUGUAAGUUUCCCUCAUCAUUUUUUCUAUGUCUAUUUCUAAUCAAUUUUGUUAUAAUUAAACACUACAUCACGUUUUUUAAUAUAAUUUAAAUGUUUUAUUAUGCUAGCUGUUACAAACGACGUUGAGCACAGCGCAAGGAGGCAUGGUCCAGUUGCAGCUCCGGCAGUGUCACCGGUCCCAGCACCCAAAACUCAUUAGUUCACAAAAUGUUAAAAUGGGAUCCAAAAUUGAGAGCAUGAUUGGUAGAAUCAAUUUCAACCAAAACACAAUGCUUUUUCUCAUCAAUUCAUGUCCUCUUCCCCUUACCUCUUGCUUAUCAUUUGUCACCACAAUAAAUUAAAUUAUUAUUCUUUUUAUUAUCAUUCUCUUCUUAUUCCCCUUUUCCUUUUUCAUUGUCUAGUUUAUUUAUUUUUAUCGGAAUCAUUGUUAACUCAUUAAAGAUUAGUAGAAUAUCAACAACAAUACAAUUUAAAGUAUUUAAUGCAAAUAAAUUCACAAUAUUUAUUUAAUAGUAUGAAAUAAUAAAUUGUUUGAAAUACUCAUGUCUCUAGACGAUACACACACCAAGACGAAAAACUUAAAUGACAUCCCAACAAGAUAAUGAUAAAAUAUUAUCAUACUGCUAAGAUAAAAAUUACACAAAAAAACACAAAAGAAAGAUAAUAUAUUACCCUUUUAAUGAACGAAGAAAAAUAGAUGCUUUUUUUCGUAAGGAUGUCAAGUUUUUUUUUUUACAACUCACACAUAUGCAAGAUUCAACACUAUAUAUGCAAAUGCAGAAAACAACAAAUGAAUUUGAAAAUUACAAAAAGUAAUCACAGAAUCAGACGAUUGAUCUUCACCUAUCUUAAUCUUAAUUUGUUCUACCAUUUUAUCAAUUACAUCCAAUUGUUUAAAAGAAUUAAUACUUUUGCAACGUUUAAAACAAUUAUUUAAGAAAAAACAAUGUUGUAUAUUACAGAAUAUUACGCCCACAAAUCGAACAAAACAAACUUUCAUUUCAUUGAUUUCAAAGAUGAAGUAAUGAUUCAAUUUGAAAUGGUUCUUUAGCAUAAUUUAUUGUCUUACUUUUUUUUUUUCUCUAUAGGAGGUCACUCGCGUUCCUGCCAUAAAAAUUUUGAUUCACCAUUUAUGCAAAUAUAUGUACAUAUGGUGGUGGUGUUGAUAUACCAUAAUAUGGAACUUCUGUAGGGGAUGUUCUUGUGAGGUUGAUUGGGAGGUCGACUGCACAUGAGCAUAUGACAACGGUUGCAAAUGGGGAUCACACAUAUAUUGUUCGACAUAUAUAAAUAAUUUAGUAUGUUGUCUAAACCAAUUUAUAUAUUAUGGGUUGUGGCAUAAAACACCUUAUACGAUUUUACCUUGCAAUACAUAAUUCUCACGCUCGUUCCAAUGUUUAAUCUUUUCUCUCCCAACCCAAUUUCAAUUAUCAUCAAUGCCACACCUCAUGGAAUAUUUUCAUGUCCUAUGGUAGUUGUGGUAUUUGUUGAUGGAAACCGAAUUGGAGUGUAACUUUAUCAGGAUGAUGUUUUUCAACAAUAUAAUAACAAUUCAGAGAGGUACAUGCAGUUCAUGUGUCAAUCUCUUCUUCGAAAACUUCGUAUUGGAACUCGAGGUACGGUCUCCAAUAAAACUGAAAUGUAAAAAAAUAAGCUAAAGUAAAUAUAAGAAGUAUAAAAAAACAAUAUAAUUAAAAAAGUGAAAUAAAUGUGAAUGAAUAUAUUACUUCUAAAGUAGCAAUGUCGAUCACCAGAAAUGGGGGUUUGAAUUUUGAUCAUUUUACCAUUUUGAUUCAUGUGUGUGCUUAAUUUAAAUUAACGCAAGAAUGAUAUUGGUUUGAUGAACAAUAAAAGAAGAACGUUCUUCAAUACUAAUAUAACAAUAAAAACUUUACGAUGUGUAUGAUAAAAGUGUUUGAGAUUUUGAAACAUCUCAAUACUUGUUUGAGAUAAAUGAAAGAUAAAAUCAAUAAAUAAUGAUCCACAAAUAUAGUGAAGAGAGUUGGAGUCUGCUUGAAGAGUUUUUUGCUUGUUCUUACUUGAAGAAGUGUCGGUAGAUUUUAAAAUGAAUAUAGUUGUUGGACACACUUCCCAAGUGUUAGAUAUAUUUUAAAACAAUUAAACAUGUGUUUAUAUUGUUGUCUAGAACCUCCUUGACAACCGAAGAAUGUUCUUGCUUUUGGGUUUGAUGGAAAACGUGAAUAAGUGAGUGAGUGAGUGAGCUGUCAAAUGUCAGUUUGAAAAUGUUUCCAUGUCAUAAUUAUGCAGAGUUUUCUGCAUAAUACUGUAAGUACAAUGUACUUGUGUCCUUGCACACAAUUCAUCAAUUUGGAGAUCAAUCUUGAGGUUAUUUUCCUCCUUUUGACAUUCAGCUCGAGUUCUGGGUUUCACCAUUGAUUUGAGCAGUCUUGAUACUCUUUAAAUUGUGGUUUGGACUGUGAAAAAUAAUAUGUUUUAGUUGUUUCUUUAAAAAAGAAUAGCAAAUAGUUCUUUUGCGAAACUAAAACGUUCUUGGUUUUGUGUUGUAUGAAAAACGUGGAUGAGUGAUUUAGUAGUUGUCUAGUGUUAGUAAUUUGUCUCAUAAACAUGAUGUGCUUUCUGCAAAAAGAUGCAACACCAUUUCCCUUGCCCAUGGCUCAUCAAUUUGAAUAUAUAUUUUGAUGUUUUGUUUUGUCUUUGUUGAUCCUCUUUGAACGAAUCUAUCCAAAACGAUCUUGUGUAGAUUAAUAAAUUCUUGUGUAAUAAAUAAUGAUGAUUUGUUGUGUAGAUAGAUGUACUUUCGUAACUCAGAUCGAUCUUAAAUUAUAUAGAGGCAUGUGAUAGUGGUUUUAAUCCAUCUAUAAAUUAAAAUGAAGAUAAUGAUCAAAAUGAGGAUUAACGACCUCAACUCGUUCAAAGAGCUAGACAAGUUCAACGACAUCAUAGAUAUGGAACUGGAUGUCGUUUAAGUGGACAUCAUUAAUUUAAAUCUGAUGUAUUUUUUUCUUCGAUUUAAUAUAUCUUAUUUGAUAUUAUUAAUAUAAUUUGCUAUUUUUAAUUAUAAUUAUUUUUAUUUAUUAGAUCUAGCGAAAAAAUAAAAAGAAAUUGUUAACAAAAUAAAAUUAAGUAAUUAAUUUAUCUAUAAAAUAGGAUAGAGUUGUUAAAAUAAUAUAAAUUUAUACAAAAUAUAAAGGAGUUAUUAAAAUAAUAUAACGUGUUAUUUCUUUUGUCACAUCUACUCAAUUGAAUUUUUACUUCAAUUUAAUGUAUUUUAUUUUAUUAAUAGUAUUAUAUUUUUUAAAUAUUUUAAUUAUUUUUAAUUUAUUAAAUAAACAAUUAUUCAAUUAUUAAAAUCACAAUAAUUUUUUUUUCAAAACUGUGUUCAUUGUCAUAUUCACGAAUGCGGCACCAAAUUUUUUUAGGACAGGGAUGCGAGCUACCUACUAGAAAAAAAAAAGUAAGGCAAUGAAUUAUGCUAAAUAACCCUUUUAAAUUGAAUCAUUACUUGAUCUUUUAAAUCAAUGAAAUGAAACGUGUUCAAUUUAUGGGCGUAAUAUUCUUAAAAAAAUAUUUUAAACGUUGCUAAAGUGUUCAUUUUAAGCCAAAGUAAAUGUUGAUAUGUGGUAUUUGAUGUUAGUUAAGAAAUAUUAAAAACUUGUACACACAAAAAAGUUAAAAACCAAAAUAUAUAAUUUUAUGGGUUGAAACGGAUGUAAUUGAUAAAAUGGUAGAGCAAAUUAAGAGAAAUAUUGGUGAAGAUCAAUCGACUAACUCUGUGAUUACUUUUUGUAAUUUUUAAAUUCAUUUGUUGUUUUCUGUAUUUGCAUAGUGUUGAAUCUUGCAUAUGCGUGAGUUGUAAAAAAAAAUUGACAUCUCUACGAAAAAAUACGUAUUUUUCUUCGUUAAUUAAAAGGGUAAUAUACUUUUUUUUUGUUUUUUUAUCAAAAUAGUAUGAUAUUAUUUUAUCAUUAUCUUAGUGGGAUGUCAUUUUAGUUUUUCGUCUUGGUAUGUGUAUCGUCCAGAGAGAGACACGAGUAUUCCAAACAAUUUAUUAUUUCAUACUAUUAAAUAAAUAUUGUGAAUUUAUUUGCAUUGAAUCCUUUAAAUUGUAUUGUUGUUGAUAGAUAUUCUAUGGAUCUUUAAUGAGUUAACAAUGAUUCCGGUAAAAAUAAAUAAAUGGAGACAAUGAAAAAGGAAAAGGUGAAUAAGAAGAGAAUGAUAAUAAAAAGAAUAAUAAUUUAAUUUAUUGUGGUAACAAAUGAUAAACAAGGGGCAAGGGGAAGAGGACAUGAAUUGAUGAGAAAAAGCAUUGUGUUUUGGUUGAAAUUGAUUCUACCAAUCAUGCUCUCAAAUUUGGAUCCCAUUUUAGCAUUUUGUGAAUUAAUGAGUUUUGGGUGCUGGGACCGGUGACACUGCCGGAGCUGCAACUGGACCAUGCCUCCUUGCGCUGUGCUCAACGUCGUUUGUUACAGCUAGCAUAAUAAAACAUUUUAAUUAUAUUAAAAACGUGAUGUAGUGUUUAAUUAUAAAAAAAUUGAUUAGAAAUAGACAUAGAAAAAAUGAUGAGGGAAACUUACAAUUGUACAUGGGGAAUUGGCAACGGAAACGGCAUACAGGCUCAGAAGCGAAGCGUGGAUAUAAACUUGCGGCAACGCAAUAUUCGAAGCACUCUUCCGGGGUCACUACGGUCUCUCCCGAUUGAAGGGUAGGCUCCGCCUGAAUAGCUACCAGGCACACCACCAACAACAAAGCAACAUAUUUGUUUGCCAUUUUUAGUUUUAAUUUUGAUUUCAAACUUCAAAUGUAAAACACUUUGCUUUCUUAUUGGUAGUUUUAUUUCUUUUCCUCCUUACCCAUUUU
This 5115-nucleotide long non-coding RNA is filed under the name Cicer arietinum (chickpea). Its description in RNAcentral is "long non-coding RNA (CARI_LNC001061)". The record is from RNAcentral. Lineage: Eukaryota; Viridiplantae; Streptophyta; Magnoliopsida; Fabales; Fabaceae.